GACGAACGCUGGCGGCGUGCUUAACACAUGCAAGUCGAACGGAAAGGCCCUGCUUGCAGGGUACUCGAGUGGCGAACGGGUGAGUAACACGUGGGUGAUCUGCCCUGGACUUCGGGAUAAGCCUGGGAAACUGGGUCUAAUACCGGAUAGGAGCCAUUUUUAGUGUGAUGGUUGGAAAGUUUUUUCGGUGUAGGAUGAGCUCGCGGCCUAUCAGCUUGUUGGUGGGGUAAUGGCCUACCAAGGCGGCGACGGGUAGCCGGCCUGAGAGGGUGGACGGCCACAUUGGGACUGAGAUACGGCCCAGACUCCUACGGGAGGCAGCAGUGGGGAAUAUUGCACAAUGGGCGCAAGCCUGAUGCAGCGACGCCGCGUGGGGGAUGACGGCCUUCGGGUUGUAAACUCCUUUCGCUAGGGACGAAGCUUUUUGUGACGGUACCUAGAUAAGAAGCACCGGCUAACUACGUG
Molecule: ribosomal RNA, 465 nt
Filed under: uncultured bacterium
Lineage: Bacteria
Description: partial 16S ribosomal RNA
Rfam family: Bacterial small subunit ribosomal RNA
Source: RNAcentral